AUUGAACGCUGGCGGCAUGCCUUACACAUGCAAGUCGAACGGUAACAGGUCUUCGGAUGCUGACGAGUGGCGAACGGGUGAGUAAUACAUCGGAACGUGCCUAGUAGUGGGGGAUAACUACUCGAAAGAGUGGCUAAUUCCGCAUGAGAUCUACGGAUGAAAGCAGGGGAUCGCAAGACCUUGUGCUACUAGAGCGGCCGAUGGCAGAUUAGGUAGUUGGUGGGAUAAAAGCUUACCAAGCCGACGAUCUGUAGCUGGUCUGAGAGGACGGUCAGCCACACUGGGACUGAGACACGGCCCAGACGCCUACGGGAGGCAGCAGUGGGGAAUUUUGGACAAUGGGCGAAAGCCUGAUUCAGCAAUGCCGCGUGCAGGAUGAAGGCCUUCGGGUUGUAAACUGCUUUUGUACGGAACGAAAAGCCCCGGGUUAAUACCCUGGGGUCAUGACGGUACCGUAAGAAUAAGCACCGGCUAACUACGUGCCAGCAGCCGCGGUAA
Molecule: ribosomal RNA, 498 nt
Filed under: uncultured bacterium
Lineage: Bacteria
Description: partial 16S ribosomal RNA
Rfam family: Bacterial small subunit ribosomal RNA
Source: RNAcentral